Molecule: ribosomal RNA, 464 nt
Filed under: Staphylococcus saccharolyticus
Lineage: Bacteria; Bacillati; Bacillota; Bacilli; Caryophanales; Staphylococcaceae
Description: bacterial SSU rRNA
Rfam family: Bacterial small subunit ribosomal RNA
Source: RNAcentral
CAUGCAAGUCGAGCGAACAGACGAGGAGCUUGCUCCUCUGACGUUAGCGGCGGACGGGUGAGUAACACGUGGAUAACCUACCUAUAAGACUGGGAUAACUUCGGGAAACCGGAGCUAAUACCAGAUAACAUGUUGAACCGCAUGGUUCAACAGUGAAAGACGGUCUUGCUGUCACUUAUAGAUGGAUCCGCGCCGCAUUAGCUAGUUGGUAAGGUAACGGCUUACCAAGGCAACGAUGCGUAGCCGACCUGAGAGGGUGAUCGGCCACACUGGAACUGAGACACGGUCCAGACUCCUACGGGAGGCAGCAGUAGGGAAUCUUCCGCAAUGGGCGAAAGCCUGACGGAGCAACGCCGCGUGAGUGAUGAAGGUCUUCGGAUCGUAAAACUCUGUUAUUAGGGAAGAACAAAUGUGUAAGUAACUAUGCACGUCUUGACGGCACCUAAUCAGAAAGCCACGGCUAA